AGAGUUUGAUCCUGGCUCAGGAUGAACGCUAGCGACAGGCUUAACACAUGCAAGUCGAGGGGCAGCACAGGUAGCAAUACCGGGUGGCGACCGGCGCACGGGUGAGUAACGCGUAUGCAACUUACCUAUCAGAGGGGGAUAACCCGGCGAAAGUCGGACUAAUACCGCAUGAAGCAGGGGCCCCGCAUGGGGAUAUUUGCUAAAGAUUCAUCGCUGAUAGAUAGGCAGGCGUUCCAUUAGGCAGUUGGCGGGGUAACGGCCCACCAAACCGACGAUGGAUAGGGGUUCUGAGAGGAAGGUCCCCCACAUUGGUACUGAGACACGGACCAAACUCCUACGGGAGGCAGCAGUGAGGAAUAUUGGUCAAUGGACGAGAGUCUGAACCAGCCAAGUAGCGUGAAGGAUGACUGCCCUAUGGGUUGUAAACUUCUUUUAUACGGGAAUAAAGUGAGGCACGUGUGCCUUUUUGUAUGUACCGUAUGAAUAAGGAUCGGCUAACUCCGUGCCAGCAGCCGCGGUAAUACGGAGGAUCCGAGCGUUAUCCGGAUUUAUUGGGUUUAAAGGGAGCGUAGGCGGACGCUUAAGUCAGUUGUGAAAGUUUGCGGCUCAACCGUAAAAUUGCAGUUGAUACUGGGUGUCUUGAGUACAGUAGAGGCAGGCGGAAUUCGUGGUGUAGCGGUGAAAUGCUUAGAUAUCACGAAGAACUCCGAUUGCGAAGGCAGCUCACUGGACUGCAACUGACACUGAUGCUCGAAAGUGUGGGUAUCAAACAGGAUUAGAUACCCUGGUAGUCCACACAGUAAACGAUGAAUACUCGCUGUUUGCGAUAUGCAGUAAGCGGCCAAGCGAAAGCAUUAAGUAUUCCACCUGGGGAGUACGCCGGCAACGGUGAAACUCAAAGGAAUUGACGGGGGCCCGCACAAGCGGAGGAACAUGUGGUUUAAUUCGAUGAUACGCGAGGAACCUUACCCGGGCUUAAAUUGCAUUUGAAUAUAUUGGAAACAGUAUAGUCGUAAGACAAAUGUGAAGGUGCUGCAUGGUUGUCGUCAGCUCGUGCCGUGAGGUGUCGGCUUAAGUGCCAUAACGAGCGCAACCCUUAUCUUUAGUUACUAACAGGUCAUGCUGAGGACUCUGGAGAGACUGCCGUCGUAAGAUGUGAGGAAGGUGGGGAUGACGUCAAAUCAGCACGGCCCUUACGUCCGGGGCUACACACGUGUUACAAUGGGGGGUACAGAAGGUCGCUACCUGGUGACAGGAUGCUAAUCCCAAAAGCCUCUCUCAGUUCGGAUCGAAGUCUGCAACCCGACUUCGUGAAGCUGGAUUCGCUAGUAAUCGCGCAUCAGCCAUGGCGCGGUGAAUACGUUCCCGGGCCUUGCACACACCGCCCGUCA
Molecule: ribosomal RNA, 1391 nt
Filed under: uncultured bacterium
Lineage: Bacteria
Description: 16S ribosomal RNA
Rfam family: Bacterial small subunit ribosomal RNA
Source: RNAcentral